GAUGAACGCUGGCGGCGUGCCUAAUACAUGCUAGUCGAGCGAACGGACGAGAAGCUUGCUUCUCUGAUGUUAGCGGCGGACGGGUGAGUAACACGUGGAUAACCUACCUAUAAGACUGGGAUAACUUCGGGAAACCGUAGCUAAUACCGGAUAAUAUUUUGAACCGCAUGGUUCAAAAGUGAAAGACGGUCUUGCUGUCACUUAUAGAUGGAUCCGCGCUGCAUUAGCUAGUUGGUAAGGUAACGGCUUACCAAGGCAACGAUGCAUAGCCGACCUGAGAGGGUGAUCGGCCACACUGGAACUGAGACACGGUCCAGACUCCUACGGGAGGCAGCAGUAGGGAAUCUUCCGCAAUGGGCGAAAGCCUGACGGAGCAACGCCGCGUGAGUGAUGAAGGUCUUCGGAUCGUAAAACUCUGUUAUUAGGGAAGAACAUAUGUGUAAGUAACUGUGCACAUCUUGACGGUACCUAAUCAGAAAGCCACGGCUAACUACGUG
This 497-nucleotide ribosomal RNA is filed under the name uncultured bacterium. Its description in RNAcentral is "partial 16S ribosomal RNA". It matches the Rfam family "Bacterial small subunit ribosomal RNA", at positions 28 to 507 of the family's 1533-position model. The record is from RNAcentral.